This is a non-coding RNA of Myodes glareolus (Bank vole), 103 nucleotides long. NCBI's taxonomy places the organism in Eukaryota, Metazoa, Chordata, Mammalia, Rodentia, Cricetidae. The record is from RefSeq and is a predicted model, not a curated record.
UUGCUUUGUCAGCACCUAUACUAACCCUUGACUGAUACAGAAAUGAUUAACAUGACCCCUGUGCAGGGGUAACAUUCAAAUUGAAGAAGGAUUCCAUAUUUUU